GCCUGGUCGGAAUAAUUCCUCAAAGAACCAGGCAGCUGUCUUUUGUCCACCUAGUGUUUAUAUAGGGUUUGCAAGCAAGAACUAGUACAGAAGCAGAGCAAGCAGUUGAUUGGUUAAUAUGAUAUCAUUACUACUGAUUGGUCUAUAACUCAGGUUAGAAAGCGUAAAUUUAGGGUAAGGUCGGCUAGAUAAGGGAGAAGCCUCAGUUUAGGGCAGGGUCGGCCAAGGAGGGAUUUGCACCCUGGACUGGGCCCCACCCGUCAGGUAAAAGGCCGAAGACCAAGACCAGACCAGGCCACAACAAGCCUUUAUUAGGGGAAUAGAUCUGCUGAGCUGUCUCUAAACAAAGGAGAGACAAAAGCAAUAUGGCCGGGGCAGGGAGAGUCUUUUAUAGACUGGGGUGGGGUUUGUAGGGGCUGAGGUGGGGUUGAGUGAGGUAGUGACUAGGGAAUGGAGGAGCCGGUGACGUCACUAGGUGGUAGGAGGUGAGUGAGUAUUAGGUUACUCUCUAGGUGGGAACAGGGGCAUGCUGGGAAGAAGGGUUUGUUCUUUGGUGGGAGCAGCCAUCUUGGCAUGACGUCACACAGGGGAGGGGGCAAGGCACGAUGGGAAGAGGGCAGCUACUGUACAUAAUAGCUGCUGGGGUAGUGGGAGACCUGUCACCACCUGUAUUAUCCUCCUGCCCCAGCAGCAGCAGCUCGCAGUGGCCCUGGCGGACAGAGGCAGAGUUAGAGACCUGGUGCCAGCCCCAUUGCAGCAAGGCUUCUCGAGGCACUGGAUGGCCAGAGACUGGGGCUGUAUCAGAAAUGCAUCAUAGCGAGCACGUCAUGUCCACAUGGGUUCCAGCCCUGGGCAGACAGGGAGUCUUGACGGCAGGUAUCGAGGUCUGCCCUCGGCAGCACUAACAGUAACCAGCUGUGCAAAUCGGAGUCUCCGGAGGGGCCGUUCUGAGCAUGAGCCUGAGAUCAGGAUAAGAAAAGGUUAGAAGCCUCUCUUUCCUCACAGAAGCGUUUGUGAGGACACUGAGUCCCCUCCCUACGCCGCGGCGUGGCUGCAUCGGGCUGUCCGCGUGGCCAGCGGUGUCUAACAAGCCGGCCACGGAGAAAGGAAGAGCCUGCCCACCUCCCCAGCACCUUCUGGGCCCGGGUUCCAGCCUCCGAGGCGCCCGUUCAGGUCACCUGUGAAGCUCUUAAAAGCGCCAGCACCCAGGCUGCCUCUGGGACGGCUGGGGUAUCUCCGCUGGGCCCGGCGUCAGGGACGGGAGAGCCAAACAUUGCCUGGCAGGGACUGGGCCUGUCUCCAUGCCUCUCCGAACCCCUGCCAGGCACAGUGCACACUUCACCUGCAAGACGAAGCAAAGGGGACGUUUCCUGAACUGUGGGUAAAUUUCAAAAUGAGUCAGGUGCUUUGGCACAGAAAUCUCAAAACAUAAUCUUGGACCAAGUUGAUCUGAUCAGGCGAUGGCCCUACAGUGGGCCCCGAG
Molecule: long non-coding RNA, 1483 nt
Filed under: Heterocephalus glaber (naked mole-rat)
Lineage: Eukaryota; Metazoa; Chordata; Mammalia; Rodentia; Bathyergidae
Description: lncRNA (ENSHGLG00000037763.1)
Source: RNAcentral